Molecule: ribosomal RNA, 468 nt
Filed under: uncultured bacterium
Lineage: Bacteria
Description: partial 16S ribosomal RNA
Rfam family: Bacterial small subunit ribosomal RNA
Source: RNAcentral
GAUGAACGCUGGCGGCGUGCUUAACACAUGCAAGUCGAACGGAAAGGCCCAAGCUUGCUUGGGUACUCGAGUGGCGAACGGGUGAGUAACACGUGGGUGAUCUGCCCUGCACUUCGGGAUAAGCCUGGGAAACUGGGUCUAAUACCGGAUAGGACGAUGGUUUGGAUGCCAUUGUGGAAAGUUUUUUCGGUGUGGGAUGAGCUCGCGGCCUAUCAGCUUGUUGGUGGGGUAAUGGCCUUCCAAGGCGUCGACGGGUAGCCGGCCUGAGAGGGUGUACGGCCACAUUGGGACUGAGAUACGGCCCAGACUCCUACGGGAGGCAGCAGUGGGGAAUAUUGCACAAUGGGCGCAAGCCUGAUGCAGCGACGCCGCGUGGGGGAUGACGGCCUUCGGGUUGUAAACUCCUUUCGCUAGGGACGAAGCGUUUUUGUGACGGUACCUGGAGAAGAAGCACCGGCUAACUACGUG